Molecule: transfer RNA, 74 nt
Filed under: Mycobacterium phage Priamo
Lineage: Duplodnaviria; Heunggongvirae; Uroviricota; Caudoviricetes
Also listed under: 1 other name
Description: tRNA-Asn
Rfam family: tRNA
About the family: Transfer RNA (tRNA) molecules are approximately 80 nucleotides in length. Their secondary structure includes four short double-helical elements and three loops (D, anti-codon, and T loops). Further hydrogen bonds mediate the characteristic L-shaped molecular structure. tRNAs have two regions of fundamental functional importance: the anti-codon, which is responsible for specific mRNA codon recognition, and the 3' end, to which the tRNAs corresponding amino acid is attached (by aminoacyl-tRNA synthetases). tRNAs cope with the degeneracy of the genetic code in two manners: having more than one tRNA (with a specific anti-codon) for a particular amino acid; and 'wobble' base-pairing, i.e. permitting non-standard base-pairing at the 3rd anti-codon position.
Source: RNAcentral
UGGUGUGUAGCUCAACUGGCAGAGCACCCGGCUGUUAACCGGACGGUUGAAGGUUCGAGUCCUUCCACACCAGC